CGUUAAGAAGCUAUAUGCUAGCGCCAGCCUUUUAAGCUAGAGAAAGAGGAUUGCCCGCCCCUCCUUAAUGA
This 71-nucleotide transfer RNA is filed under the name Columba livia (rock pigeon). RNAcentral describes it as "tRNA-Lys". Lineage: Eukaryota; Metazoa; Chordata; Aves; Columbiformes; Columbidae. The record is from RNAcentral.